GGUCAUGUGUACCUAGCGAGCCACGUGAGCUCUAGUUAUUUAGAAGCCAAGUGUGCUUAUCGAUAGAGGUCAUGUGUACCUAGCGAGCCAUGUGAGCUCUAGUUAUUUAGGAAGCCAAGUGUGCUUAUCAACAGAGGUCAUGUGUACCUAGCGAGCCAUGUGAGCUCUAAUUAUUUAGAAGCCAAGUGUGCUUAUCGAUAUAUCAAUAACAAGCUAAAUCUAUCAAAUUAAAUGAAAUCUUAGGAGGAUUUAUGUGUAUAGAAAAAUAUUUUACGUACAUCUUUUAUUUAGUUUUUAUUUUAAUGAUAU
Molecule: unclassified non-coding RNA, 309 nt
Filed under: Melitaea cinxia (Glanville fritillary)
Lineage: Eukaryota; Metazoa; Arthropoda; Insecta; Lepidoptera; Nymphalidae
Description: misc RNA ENSMCXG00005018920.1
Source: RNAcentral